CGGAUAUGGCGAAGUGGUUAACGCACCGGAUUGUGGCUCCGGUAUGCGUGGGUUCGAUUCCCACUAUUC
RNAcentral lists this transfer RNA (69 nucleotides) under uncultured Tetragenococcus sp. It matches the Rfam family "tRNA". Rfam says of the family: Transfer RNA (tRNA) molecules are approximately 80 nucleotides in length. Lineage: Bacteria; Bacillati; Bacillota; Bacilli; Lactobacillales; Enterococcaceae. The record is from RNAcentral.